RNAcentral lists this ribosomal RNA (149 nucleotides) under Neokomagataea anthophila. Its description in RNAcentral is "partial 16S ribosomal RNA". It matches the Rfam family "Bacterial small subunit ribosomal RNA", at positions 1385 to 1533 of the family's 1533-position model. The record is from RNAcentral. Lineage: Bacteria; Pseudomonadati; Pseudomonadota; Alphaproteobacteria; Acetobacterales; Acetobacteraceae.
ACACACCGCCCGUCACACCAUGGGAGUUGGUUCGACCUUGAGCCGGUGAGCGAACCGUAAGGACGCAGCCGACCACUGACGGGUCAGCGACUGGGGUGAAGUCGUAACAAGGUAGCCGUAGGUGUACCUGCGGCUGGUUCACCUCCUUU